GUCAGUGUGGUAUAGUGGUUUGAGCACCGGACUAUGACUCUGGAGACCAGGGUUUGACUCCUGUUCAGUCA
RNAcentral lists this transfer RNA (71 nucleotides) under Phrynosoma platyrhinos (Desert horned lizard). RNAcentral describes it as "tRNA-OTHER". Lineage: Eukaryota; Metazoa; Chordata; Lepidosauria; Squamata; Phrynosomatidae. The record is from RNAcentral.